Molecule: ribosomal RNA, 497 nt
Filed under: uncultured bacterium
Lineage: Bacteria
Description: partial 16S ribosomal RNA
Rfam family: Bacterial small subunit ribosomal RNA
Source: RNAcentral
GAUGAACGCUGGCGGCGUGCCUAAUACAUGCAAGUCGAGCGAACAGAUGAGGAGCUUGCUCCUCUGACGUUAGCGGCGGACGGGUGAGUAACACGUGGAUAACCUACCUAUAAGACUGGGAUAACUUCGGGAAACCGGAGCUAAUACCGGAUAAUAUAUUGAACCGCAUGGUUCAAUAGUGAAAGACGGUUUUGCUGUCACUUAUAGCUGGAUCCGCGCCGCAUUAGCUAGUUGGUAAGGUAACGGCUUACCAAGGCAACGAUGCGUAGCCGACCUGAGAGGCUGAUGGCCCAGACAAGGUUUGAGACCUCUUCGACAGUCCUACGGGAGGCCGCAGUCGGGAACCAACCGCACUGGCCGCCAGCCUGACCGACCGCCCCCGCGUGAGUGAUGAACGCCUUGGGUUCGUAGAGCGCUGUAAUGCGGGAAGAAGAAAUGUCUAAGUAACCAUGCACGUCUUGACGCUACCCAGACAGAAAGGCGCGGCUAACUACGUG